This is an RNA transcript of Cryptotermes secundus, 1080 nucleotides long. RefSeq lists it as uncharacterized. The record is from RefSeq and is a predicted model, not a curated record. NCBI's taxonomy places the organism in Eukaryota, Metazoa, Arthropoda, Insecta, Blattodea, Kalotermitidae. The transcript is spliced from 2 exons.
UACGAAGCAGGCAUGCGAACUGAUUCAAACCACAAAAAUAGUGUAGCCCUACUCUCUACAACGCUGCAUGUCGAAGUGAUGAUGCUGUCUUAGGCUUCAGUUUCAAGUAUUGAGUGGGUCUGAUAAGAUUGCGUGUUGCAGACAAGGAAUCCUGUGUUACUUACGGGCCAGGGAUGUACAGGCGGGCCAGAAGUCGUAUUUUCGCAGAAUUCGAUACCGUGUCCUACAUCACAAGAGGAGUGGAAGAAAGUUGCUAAGGACUUUGAAGUUAGGUGGCAGUUUCCCAACUGCAUAGGAGCCAUGAAUGGAAAACGUGUGGCUAUCACGCCUCCUCCAGGGGCUGGAGCAUUCUUCUUUAACUAUAAAAGUUUCCAGAGCCAAUUAUGAGUUACUAUACUUCAGUUUUGGAUCAAAUGGCCGUGUGUCCGAUGGUGGAGUUUUUCAAAGCACAGACUUUUACAGGACACUCGAAAGUGGGAGUUUGAAUGUGCCAAAGGAAACAAUUGUUGCUGGGAGAAAUAUGCCUUUUGUUCUUGUAGCAGAUGAUGCCUUUCCACUGAGGAAAGACAUCAUGAAGCCUUUCAGCCGUAAAGUAAACACACCAGCCCGUAAGAUAUUCAACUACCUUUUGUCUAGAGCUCGGCGAAGGAUUGAAAGUGUUUUUGGUAUCAUUGUGGAGAGAUUUGCGGUAUUACAGAAACCCAUCUCUAUCAUAGAUUUGACUAGCGUCCGCCAUAUUGUUAUGGCAUGUUGUGCCCUGCAUAUUUUUUUGCGCAGUAAGAUUCCGAAUUAGUACACACCAUUGAAGGGUUUGGAUGAUGAGGAUUUUGAAACUGGGAAUGUUACGCCUGGUUAUCGCUGCAGUCAAUUUAUGGAUCUGGAAAGACGACAGCGGUGUUUUCCUACCCAGGAUGCGAAACUUGUAAGAGAGUUGUUUUUGGAGUAUUUCAACAACGAAGGAAAAGUUCCAUGGCAAGAUAAGUUCUGUUUUCAAAAACAGUACAUUAAGGCAGAAGGCUCUGAUUCCGUACACAUGCAUAGAAUUAUUUAGUGUUUAGCAUUGUAAUCUAUAAUUGUUAA